AGGACGAACGCUGGCGGCGUGCUUAACACAUGCAAGUCGAGCGGUAAGGCCUUUCGGGGUACACGAGCGGCGAACGGGUGAGUAACACGUGGGUGAUCUGCCCUGCACUCUGGGAUAAGCUUGGGAAACUGGGUCUAAUACCGGAUAUGACCGCGCUACGCAUGUGGUGUGGUGGAAAGUUCUGGCGGUGGAGGAUGAGCUCGCGGCCUAUCAGCUUGUUGGUGGGGUAAUGGCCUACCAAGGCUUCGACGGGUAGCCGGCCUGAGAGGGUGACCGGCCACACUGGGACUGAGACACGGCCCAGACUCCUACGGGAGCAGCAGUGGGGAAUAUUGGACAAUGGGCGAAAGCCUGAUCCAGCAACGCCGCGUGAGGAUGACGGCCUUGGGUUGUAAACCUCUUUCGAGCGCCGAGAAGCGAGAGUGACGGUGGCGCAGAAGAAGCACCGGCCAACUACGUGCCAGCACGCCGCGGUAACUCGUAGAGGCGGCGUGGACCG
Molecule: ribosomal RNA, 499 nt
Filed under: uncultured soil bacterium
Lineage: Bacteria
Description: bacterial SSU rRNA
Rfam family: Bacterial small subunit ribosomal RNA
Source: RNAcentral